GGGGGUAUAGAGUGGUAAAGUGCAUGCUUAGUAUGUACAAGGUCCUGGGUUCAAUUCCCAGUACCUCCA
Molecule: transfer RNA, 69 nt
Filed under: Camelus bactrianus (Bactrian camel)
Lineage: Eukaryota; Metazoa; Chordata; Mammalia; Artiodactyla; Camelidae
Also listed under: 2 other names
Rfam family: tRNA
About the family: Transfer RNA (tRNA) molecules are approximately 80 nucleotides in length. Their secondary structure includes four short double-helical elements and three loops (D, anti-codon, and T loops).
Source: Rfam by way of RNAcentral